ACUCUAAUAGUUUAUAAA
This 18-nucleotide transfer RNA is filed under the name Pycnonotus finlaysoni (stripe-throated bulbul). Its description in RNAcentral is "partial tRNA-Thr". Lineage: Eukaryota; Metazoa; Chordata; Aves; Passeriformes; Pycnonotidae. The record is from RNAcentral.